Molecule: long non-coding RNA, 2653 nt
Filed under: Nicotiana benthamiana
Lineage: Eukaryota; Viridiplantae; Streptophyta; Magnoliopsida; Solanales; Solanaceae
Description: long non-coding RNA (NBEN_LNC032429)
Source: RNAcentral
CCAAAUUCAUUUAAAACUGUUCAAAUAACGUAAGGACCAUCUCACUUCAUCUCUCUUCGCUCAUCGUCCAUAUUUAGAGAGCCAAACCCUAGUGCCGUCCUAAAUUCCUCUCCAUCUCUGGUGGCGGGGCCAUCUCAAAACACCUCCAAAUUUAUAUCACCGAACCUUCAUGACCUCCCCUUUCCUAAUCCCUAACUAGUUUCCCUCGAAUCCCUUUAGAGUGUCUCGAAUCGUCGAUUGAAGCAAUCCAGCUAGAACCCUAUAAACCCCAAAUAUCUCCAAUCAUCAAGUUUCAAUGAAAUAUUAGGGUUGAAAUUGGUCUUAUUCGUCUUUUCUCAAUAAGAAGAUAUUAUUAAUGCCAAUUUCGGCUCAAAAUUGAGAGUUUUGAAGAUCAUUUUAACUCCAAUGUCCCUCCACUCGUUCAUGGUAUUUUCCGUCCAUUUUGUUUCUUUCGUCUUUCAUUUUAUCGUCAAUCUUCAUCCACUUCUGAUUUUUUUCCUUUUUCUUUCUUCUUUUUUAUAUCCUCUAUGUGAUGCCAUUUUUAAGUUAUUUUUUUUUUAGUCAACAUGUUUAAGUUUAUUUAAUUCUGUUGUUUGAUUUUGCUUAAAUUUCUUUCUAUUUUUGUUUUUUUUGGAUUCAUGACUUCGGGAGUUUUCUAUAACUCCAUUGGCCCAGUUUCUUGAUUGGUUUCUAUUGGUUUUUGAAUUAAAUUUGGACUUUGUCAGUCAAAAUCCCAAAGAUGGGAAGUUCAAUCCGGGUUUGCCCAGCCCAGGAUCUGUGGUUUGAUUUGUUUGGGUCAGCUUGGCCAUGUUUGGUUCAUGAGGGUAAUUAACAGAGAUUUAAUGGCUAGUUUAGGGAAAGGGAUAGAGGGAGUAUCUUUUAACUGCCUAGGAAGCUGCUAGGAAGAUGAAGUUGAGGUUAAGUUAAAUAAAUAAAAUUAAUAAUCAGAGUCUAAGUUGAAAAAAGAAAAUUAGGGAAGGGGUGUUUGUUAAAAUGGAAAAUCAUUUCUGCUGCCCUAAGUUUAUCUAUAUAAGGGUCGUCUUUAGUAAAAUGAGCAAAUAUUGAAAACCUGAGAUGUUAGAAAUGGCUAAAAAAAAGAUCCUCGCAGAUAGAACUUUUUCCAAAUCAAUGUUCCAUUGCAUUUGUCUUCAUAUAUCUUUGGAUAUUUUUUAAAGUUUAAGUGGAUUACUCUAUUUUGGGCUCAAAUAUGGUAGUAGCUUAUUGAGUACUGUUGUUAGCUUUUGUUAAGAAGUUGUCGAUACUUUUAUCUCUCUGCUGAAAGUUUUUGCUGUUUGUUUCUCAUUGUUCCAAGUAUUUUUUUGAAUUUUGAAUAGAAAAUGAAGGUGUGAAUGUGGCUUUGUAAGGAAAGUGUUGUUUCUGUUGAAGUUCAUUAAAGAUUGCUAGUUGUUAGCUUGGUUUUUAUAUUUUUGGUCAAGUCAUUUAGCUUCUUGUCCAUUUUUCCUUCUACUUCUUUCUUAAUUGUAAUAGAUUUGUAAUAAUAGAUGCUCUAAUAAUUCAUGCUUAAGUGUUAAAACUAUGUACAAUCUCGAAGUACAACCAUGGUAAUUAGCCCGUUCUUUUUUAUUUCUUUUGCUGAAUUGAGUUUAAUUAGUCUCACACUCGAGGCUUGAGUACUCCUUUGAAGAGGGUUGAAUGGUUUCUUCCCCAAUUGUAUGAGGAAUUAUGGAAAUGGAUGGCAGUUUUCAUUGAAGGUUAUAAUUUACCAGGCAUUUUGUUCUAAUGGUUUGAAUUACUUGUUUGUUUGUUGAUUCCAUGAUUCAAGGUAUGUUAAUUUUCACUCAUUAGUUAAUUGCUCCCUUAAAUGGACUUGAAUUAUGCUUUAGUGUUGAACUUAUACGUAAGUUGAUGAGUGCAUGAAUAAUCAUGAGGGUCAGAGAUAAAUGUCUCAGCAAAUUCCAAUUUGAUGUUCAAGCUUGCUAAAGACCUCAACUGGGUUUGACAUGAUGCCCAAUUUCAGGUGGCCCGCUCUCAAGCUGAGAUAACUUUCGAAUCAGUGUUAAUUCUUGUGUUUCUUUGAUAUUUUCAUUCGGCCGAAUUCAAUUUAGUUGGUGGUAUGAUGAAGUCACUUUAAGAUUAUCACAAUCUGCGAUUGGGCCUUGUACGUGGCCCAAUUAAAUCAUUUAUGCACCAUGCAGCUUCAAUCUCGACUUUGGGCUUUUCCGUUGAGCUCAGGUUCCCUUUUAAAUAGGUUCAUGGGAAAACUACCCUCUAUAACCCCUCAAAAUUUUAAUAGCCCAUGUUUUGGCCCACUUGCAAAAGAUGACCCUUCGGCCCAAACAUAUUGCAUCUAGUAGCCCGAAAUGUCUGUUUUGUAUAUUUUUUGUAUAGUGACUGUCUAUUUUGUAUAGUGAAAAUCUAUUUUGUAUAAUGAUAGUAUAUAUAUUAUAUAUUUUGUAUGCUGACAACCUAUUUUGUAUAUAUUUUGUAUAGUUACAUCUAUUUUGUAUAUAAAUGUAUAGUUACAUCUAUUGUUGUAUAUAUUUUGUAUAGUAAUACUCUAUUUGUAUAUAAAUUUUAUAGUGACAGAAUUUUUGGUAUAUAUUUUGUAUAGUUAUAUUUAAUUUGUAUAUUUUUUUGUAUAGUGACAGUCUAUUGUAUAUAAAUUAUACAAUUAACGUCUAUUUUGUAUAUU